CCGCCCGCCGCCUCGAGGGUCUGUCCUGCCUGGGUGGGGACCCUGCCUGGUGGGACCCCUGCCUGGGUGGGGGCUGUCCUGCCUGGGUGAGGCGUCCAGAGAGGCCGGUAGCAAAAAUGCGCCGGUGCCCAGGCCCGCUCUAGGGUUUGCAAAAGGUAGUGCGGGACUCGGCGCGGACAGAGUAACAGUAACCAGCCUGCUGAUUACCAUCAGUCUUCAAAAUAGAGCGGUUUUUAAAAAUGGAAAACAAUGGUUUCUAGACUUAUUUUUAGCAAUAAACUUAAAAACCUUGCGAAAUUCAAUCCCGAUGGAGGACCGUAGAGAUUUGUGUCUUCCUGCUCUUUUGACUUUAAAGUGAAUUCCUCAGGCAUAUCGCUAAUCUAAAACUGAGUCGGAAUUUACAAAGACGUUCUUAGAAUCCCGUUGGUUGGUCUCCUUUUUUUCUGAGACACAUCUGAAUCACUCGGGGAUGACGGCGGCCAUUGCUUAUUAAGUAAGAUGCCCCUCCCCCCUUUUUUGAGUUAAGGGUUGUGCUUAAAAAAAGUCAACAUUUGAGUCACAGUUUUUUCCUGUGUAAAAUGAACAGACUUGAGCCAAAACAUUUGAGCAAACAAGUUGCUCAACGGCCUCGGACAAGGUAGGAGUUCAUGUAUUUCUCCCAGAGUGAGUGGCUGGGAAUCUCCAGUUGAUGUUGCCGCGGGCCUCAGCCUCUCUGAGCUCUCCUUUCUUGAGGAAGGUAAACGAGAGGACAAAAAAGCAAUUCAUCUUCCACAUGGACUUCAUCUUGAUAUUCCAAAUGGGCCAACCUCCUAAUGCCCAACUGAACCUCAUAUUGUUUAGUCUGCCGUGGCCCCUUUCCUUUCUAACUGAAAUAGGUAACUCAGGUGGAAGCAUUCAAAAGAUAGAUCUCAUCAAAUUUUCUGUUUCUCAUCUAAUCUGUUUGUUUUCCCCAACAUCUGAAGCUAGUUAUAGGUUUGAGGUUUUAUGGACUGAAAUUAUCCUAGGCUAACAACAUUUCAUGUAUUUUUAUUCUCUUUAAGUAGAUGCAACUAUUAAAUGAAUUCAUAAUAUA
Long non-coding RNA from Manis pentadactyla (Chinese pangolin), 1072 nucleotides. RefSeq lists it as uncharacterized. NCBI's taxonomy places the organism in Eukaryota, Metazoa, Chordata, Mammalia, Pholidota, Manidae. The transcript is spliced from 2 exons. The record is from RefSeq and is a predicted model, not a curated record.